RNAcentral lists this ribosomal RNA (480 nucleotides) under uncultured bacterium. RNAcentral's name for it is "partial 16S ribosomal RNA". It matches the Rfam family "Bacterial small subunit ribosomal RNA", at positions 28 to 507 of the family's 1533-position model. The record is from RNAcentral.
GACGAAUGCUGGCGGCGCGCCUAACACAUGCAAGUCGAGCGAUGAAAUUUUAACCGAUCUCUUCGGAGAGAAGAUAAAAUGGAUUAGCGGCGGACGGGUGAGUAACACGUGAGAAACCUGCCUUUCACAAGGGGAUAGCCUCGGGAAACCGGGAUUAAUACCCUAUGACACAUUUCCUUCGCAUGGAAGAAAUGUUAAAACUCCGGUGGUGAAAGAUGGUCUCGCGCCUGAUUAGCUAGUUGGUGGGGUAACGGCCCACCAAGGCCAUGAUCAGUAACCGGCCUGAGAGGGUGAACGGUCACAGUGGAACUGAGACACGGUCCAAACUCCUACGGGAGGCAGCAGUGGGGAAUAUUGCACAAUGGAGGAAACUCUGAUGCAGCGACGCCGCGUGAGCGAUGAAGGCUUUCGAGUCGUAAAGCUCUGUCCUAUGGGAAGAUAAUGACGGUACCAUAGGAGGAAGCCCCGGCUAACUACGUG